UCCUAACAACUACACUUUAUGUUUUAUUUAUUUUAUAAUGGCGUCAUUCUUUUUAUUUUAUUUUUUAUUUAAAUAUUAAGUCAUCUAUUUGUUCAGUUAACCUACCAUCUGAGGGGAAAGAUUACUCAAUUAUUCCUAUAAAAAUAUUUGUUCAUUAAGUUUUACCUUAAUAUAACUCAUUUAUUCCCGCUUAACCUCGUAAUCAUCCUUCUCUGAGAUGGAUUGUAAGACAGAAAAACAUUUAAGGUUUAUGUUUUGUUCUUGAACCAUAAAUGAGAAGUUGAU
RNAcentral lists this long non-coding RNA (285 nucleotides) under Lathyrus oleraceus (garden pea). RNAcentral's name for it is "Pisum sativum (pea) long non-coding RNA (PSAT_LNC023401)". The record is from RNAcentral. Lineage: Eukaryota; Viridiplantae; Streptophyta; Magnoliopsida; Fabales; Fabaceae.